CUGAACCUCAGUUAAGGCCCUAACCGGACAAGGAUUAGGGAAAAAGGCUUACUCGAUGGCUCGCGUUUAGCGAUCCUAGAGACGACAGUCAUAGACUCUGAGACAAUAAGGCAGUGGCUUUCCCAGUAAGCUUUAAGGCAGUCUUGGGAAAGGAACAGGAGGGGCCAGGGGGACCUUCUGUUCAAAGCGGUACUCGAUAGGGUGGUUCCGUACGAAAGGGAAAUUGGGAUCUCUGACAUCUUGAAUUUUCACCUUUAGGGGGGUAAUUUCAAUGACAGUAAGAGUCCCCUUUCGGGGGAAAUCCAGGAGAGGCUUAUCGCCCUCGUAUGCGUUUCUGUUGUUGUUUCUGUAUGUGUUAAGUCGGCUCGUAGAGGCGGCUUAGCUGCUAAAGUCUUACAAGCAAUACAAGGCUCAAUAAGGCUCGUAUUUCGGGUCCUAUUGGAAAGUGUAUUGUUGUAGACAGGGUUACUAGUAUAAAUGCUAUCAAGCCCGGAGGCAGCCCCUUUGGGAGCUGAUCCGGAGAUAGAGCAGCUCCUAGUAAGAGAAAGUAGAGCAACAACUGCUAAAGAAGCUCAGUAGCAGCAAGAGCGGGCUUCCCUUACUCUAUUUCCGAAGCGGAAAUAGUCGGGAAGUAGAUAGAGCGGACCGUUGCCCCCUCCGAGCUUUGCUCGUCUCCCCUCGGGGGAGGUUGGGCUCAAAAGUGGUCUUCCCUUAUUCUAUUUCCUCGGAGGAAAUAGUCGGGUCGCAAAACGCAAGUACCGUGCAAACAAGAGUUGGCUUCCGCGCGCGCGCGUAAGAGCUGAACGCUUUCCCCUCCGAGCUGCGCUCUUCCUCCCUCGGGGAGGUUAGCUCAUUAGCUCAGUAGCUCCUUAGCUCGUAGCUCAUUAGCUCAGUAGCUCAGUAGCUCAGGUUUUAAAGUUGGAAGUAGCUACUAGCCUGUCUCAGGGCUCCGAGCGCUGCUGCAGCCCAAACAUACCGCAGCGCUCUCCGGUCCCUUCGCGAAGCAAUUCGCUCUGUUAGGCAUAUGUAGACUUAUGUGGGCUGGCUUGUAUUCUUAUAUGAAACCUUUCCUGUGAGAUCGGUCGUUACUCCAACCCUGGAGUAACUUCCCUUCCAGAGUGUUAACUCACAUAUGCUUUUUCCGGACCCUAUGUAGUUAGGAGUUUUGUAUUUGUUGAAGCUAGUAGUCUCUAGCGGCCGUACCUGUUCAGUUAUCUUAUAAGUUCCGGACUUAGAUACAGGGAAAUAACUCUGCAAAGUUAAACUCGUAUAAUAACCACUGAACCUCAGUUAAGGCCCUAACCGGACAAGGAUUAGGGAAAAAGGCUUACUCGAUGGCUCGCGUUUAGCGAUCCUAGAGACGACAGUCAUAGACUCUGAGACAAUAAGGCAGUGGCUUUCCCAGUAAGCUUUAAGGCAGUCUUGGGAAAGGAACAGGAGGGGCCAGGGGGACCUUCUGUUCAAAGCGGUACUCGAUAGGGUGGUUCCGUACGAAAGGGAAAUUGGGAUCUCUGACAUCUUGAAUUUUCACCUUUAGGGGGGUAAUUUCAAUGACAGUAAGAGUCCCCUUUCGGGGGAAAUUCAAGAGAGGCUUAUCGCCCUCGUAUGCGUUUCUGUUGUUGUUUCUGUAUGUGUUAAGUCGGCUCGUAGAGGCGGCUUAGCAGCUAAAGUCUUACAAGCAAUACAAGGCUCAAUAAGGCUCGUAUUUCGGGUCCUAUUGGAAAGUGUAUUGUUGUAGACAGGGUUACUAGUAUAAAUGCUAUCAAGCCCGGAGGCAGCCCCUUUGGGAGCUGAUCCGGAGAUAGAGCAGCU
Molecule: long non-coding RNA, 1812 nt
Filed under: Panax ginseng (ginseng)
Lineage: Eukaryota; Viridiplantae; Streptophyta; Magnoliopsida; Apiales; Araliaceae
Description: long non-coding RNA (PGIN_LNC010910)
Source: RNAcentral